AGGUCGUAGGCACAGUUAUGGAAACCAUGAAGUCACGGUUUGCCCAUCUUCACGUUCUGUUAGCAUUUGAGUUUUUGAAAAAUCUCUUGGGUGCAUCCUUAUGCUGCAUCCACACCGGAUACAAUUUGCAUGGCAGGGGCUUCGAGUUUUAUUAAGUGAAUGAACAGACGUAAUCUGAGGUCUUGCGGUAUGAUUUUGGCAUCAGGUGUGACGCGAUUUGGGCGGCAGACACGGUGUGUCAACCAAUCGUAGACUCAGCUCUGGGCAUGUGACGUUGUCAGUGACUAGAUCAGAAGGUUAAAAAAAUAUCCAACGCGGCUGCUCAUUGCAAGGAUUUUCCUACUGAACUUUCUUUUCUUAACCCGAUGGGGCCGGAGACUGUCCCGGCUACUUUUGGGUGUAGGUGGGAUACAGCCUGGACAUGUCACCAGCCUAUUUCAGAGUCCGUGGAGCUGAAGUGAUUGAGCUAGCUAUGCUAGCCAGCCACCCGGUGGAUAGACUAGCGAGGAAGCAUCGCCUCCUAGGGUCCGGGUAGACAAGAGCUGCCACGGAUGUCAUUGUAGCGGGCGCGAUCUCUUCAGCUACAUGGGCUUAUGAUGUUUUUCUUAUUUUCAUCAAAAAGAUUUUCAAUUUUUUCCCCUCUCGGGUUAAUGCGGAACAGAAAUUCUUCCAACUGGGCCACAGACAGACAGAAGUAACGUUUAAAAUGGCCGACACAUCCAGACGCAGCUGGUGCUGCAAGAGCGAAGUACUCCUCAACAGGAGAGACUCUGAAUCUAACCAAGAUACGACGAUGUGCUUGCCAGCGCUUCUGUAGAUCUCUCCAAAACAUAUAAACCUAAGCUACUCACUCAACAUCAUCCAUGUUUUCCAUGAUGCGGCAAUGAAUGAAGUCCAGAAGAAUUUGGCAGUUGCUCCGCAGCCGGGGCGUCAAGGCGUUAGGGCAACAUCAAGCAGUAAAUUUGACGCGCAAAUCGUGUCUGGUUUGAACGCAGAAUUAGUUAGAUUGGCUGUCAGAAUGAAGAGGAGUUUGAGAAUACUCUGCAAAAACCGAAUCUUAAGAAAGUAAAAAUGCUCUUGUUUCAAGAAAAAAAAUCUUAUUUUCUGUCUUGCAAAAAAAUGUAAUCAAGUAAUUUUUUCAAUACAUGAUUUUAGUUUGAGAAAACAUGUUUUAGUGACUACAAUUUUUAUACUUAAGAUAUGGAUUCUUGGUAAGACCAGUUUUUUUUUUUUUUUUUACCCCAUUGGCUGAAUUAUUAUUUUUUUAUUGGCUUAUUUAAAAAAAAAUCAAAUUUUUACAAUACUGACUAAUUUCUAGAGGGCUAUUUUUGCAUUGUAACCCAUGAACUAAGAAACUGAAAUGAUAGUACAUUCGUUCCUAAUAUAUAUAAUUACAUUGUAAACAUUGAUGGAAAACUUUGCCAAACUCCGGUUCAGGUUUUCCACGCCACCUCUCCAGACAAAGAAAUUCAAUUAAAGGCUCCUCUUCCCACUUGGGCCGGUCUCCAGGGCGCAUUUUGCAGGCGACUCUACCCCGUAAGAAAUUAGAAAAUGCCACAAUAAAACCCGAAAAAACUGUAGAAAAAAUGAUAGGAAGUUAAAUUAUGAAAGCUCUCAAGCCGCCCUCCGUAAACGCACUCCUGACUUUAGCUGGAAAAAUCCAAAGACGACAAAGUAGCUCAGAUCAUUCAAGGAAAGCCAUCUUCUAACAUAAAAAAUGCCACUGCUCCUACAACACAAGAAAUCAGAUGGCAGUGGAGGGAGCAUCGGCUGGAGGCGAUAAUGCAGCUUUAGCUUAACCAGGAGGUGAGUCUCAAAAGAGGUUUUUCUGAUCUUUAUUCAUAGUUUCUUUAGACUGGAAAAUCAAAAAGGGAGUUUCACAUUUUUGCCUUUUUUUGUUUGUUUUCUCUAAAUGAUUGGAUAAUUAGGUUUAUUCUCACCAAACGCACAAAUGUGUCAUGAAAUGUGUGGCACUAGUGUCUCUGUCAUGUUGAAGUUUCACCUCUGUUUCUUGGAGCAUCUUAAUUGUCUCAAACAUGUAUGCAAGCAGCACGUUGGAGUCAUGAUACCCCAAGGCAUAGAUUAAUUAAGCUAUGAAAACCCAUGAGCAGGGAGCGUUCAGCAGGUGCCUGUUUGUCCUGGUAUGGGACUUGUUUUUUGGCAGAGGUGCAGCGGCUCAUUAUAAAUCUAUAAUUAAGUUACAAUUUUAUUUGCCUUUUUUUAACCUGUUGUCAUUUGGGGAUCUGCAGCUCUUAAACCCUGUGAAGUGCUCUCUUAGCUGCACCAAUUUUGAGCUCUUUGGAGGGGCUGUUCUUUGAGAGGUUUGUGAUGAGCGAUCCUUUCUGUCUGUCACUGUUUGUCCCAAAACCACGAGUGAUCAUGUUUUGAGUUCAUGAAUUUUUAAAUUAUUUAUUUCUAAUCCAAAACAAGCAGAUUUGAUGCCUCCUCUCUGUUUUUGGUACAAAAGCAAACGUUGCUCCCUCAUUGCUUGGCUUGCUGAUGAAACGCUCCUCAGAGCCCCUUUAUUUUGGCUCGUCUCACACUUAGUUGGCAGUGAGAACUGAAUUCAUUGAAGCAGCUCUUUUAGACCAACAUCUUUUUUUUUUCUUUUUUCGGGAGUCACCUGCUAUCAGAGAUGGAGGGUGAGGUACACAGCAGGAGCCCAGUGGAGGGUUAAGCAGACAAAAAUAGAAUGGGAGAUCCUGGUAAUGUCUAUGAAGAGCUUGAUCAAGCUAACAAGGCAGCCUGCAGGGAGGCAGACCAGCCAGCAAAUUGAGGCUAACUACACUCGUACUUGUUUAGCAGUUUGGAAAGCAUCCAGCAUGAGGACUAGAAAAUCUGUAAAGAUUUUUUAUUAAGAUAAAGAAGUUCUAAACUUCACUGUAUUUGCUGUAAUAAUAGUUUUGUGCUUUUGAUUUUAAGAUUUCUGGUUAAAGUCACAUGCAUGGUAGGUUGACCUGUAUGGGUGCUGCAGGUUAUAGCGUUGUCUGGACCAGUGGGGGGGUCAUAGAAAGGAGCGGCUGCAUCGGGAGCGUGCACUUACACAAUGGGCAGGGUAGGGAAAAUAAAAAAAAAAACAUCUAUAUAGUGUACCUACUUCAUAAUUACUUACAUUGUAGGGGUUUAAAAAAAUAUUGAUACAGUAAAAUAUCACGAUACUUUAUAUGGCGAUACUUGUAUCGGUUUAAAACACUGCUAAGGGGAUAUUUAUUUAAUCAUCUAUUAGCAAACAUCUAGUUUAAUCUUGCUUUUGUUUUCUUCUUAAAUAUUUCCUAAAUAACCAAAAAACAAACAAAAAAAC
Molecule: long non-coding RNA, 3301 nt
Organism: Oryzias melastigma (Indian medaka)
Lineage: Eukaryota; Metazoa; Chordata; Actinopteri; Beloniformes; Adrianichthyidae
Exons: 3
Source: RefSeq, a predicted model, not a curated record